UACGGGGGGUGCGAGCGUUGCUCGGAAUCACUGGGCGUAAAGGGCGCGUAGGCGGCGUGUCAAGUCAGGCGUGAAAGCCCCGGGCUCAACCUGGGAACCGCGCUUGAGACUGGCAUGCUCGAGUUCGGGAGAGGAUGGUGGAAUUCCCAGUGUAGAGGUGAAAUUCGUAGAUAUUGGGAAGAACACCGAUGGCGAAGGCAGCCAUCUGGACCGACACUGACGCUGAGGCGCGAAAGCUAGGGGAGCGAACGGG
Molecule: ribosomal RNA, 253 nt
Filed under: uncultured bacterium
Lineage: Bacteria
Description: partial 16S ribosomal RNA
Rfam family: Bacterial small subunit ribosomal RNA
Source: RNAcentral